Molecule: ribosomal RNA, 253 nt
Filed under: uncultured bacterium
Lineage: Bacteria
Description: partial 16S ribosomal RNA
Rfam family: Bacterial small subunit ribosomal RNA
Source: RNAcentral
UACGGAGGGUGCAAGCGUUGCUCGGAAUUAUUGGGCGUAAAGGGUAGGUAGGUGGUCUCAUUUGUCUGGGGUGAAAGCCUUGGGCUUAACUCAAGAAGUGCCCCAGAAACGGUGAGACUGGAGUCCUGGAGAGGGUCGUGGAAUUCCCGGUGUAGCGGUGAAAUGCGUAGAGAUCGUAAGGAAGACCAGUGGCGAAGGCGGGUCUCUGGACAGUUCCUGACACUGAGGCACGAAGGCCAGGGGAGCAAACGGG